This 467-nucleotide ribosomal RNA is filed under the name uncultured bacterium. RNAcentral describes it as "partial 16S ribosomal RNA". It matches the Rfam family "Bacterial small subunit ribosomal RNA", at positions 28 to 507 of the family's 1533-position model. The record is from RNAcentral.
GACGAACGCUGGCGGCGUGCUUAACACAUGCAAGUCGAACGGAAAGGCCCUGCUUUUGUGGGUGCUCGAGUGGCGAACGGGUGAGUAACACGUGAGUAACCUGCCCUUGACUUUGGGAUAACUUCAGGAAACUGGGGCUAAUACCGGAUAGGAGCUCCUGCUGCAUGGUGGGGGUUGGAAAGUUUCGGCGGUUGGGGAUGGACUCGCGGCUUAUCAGCUUGUUGGUGGGGUAGUGGCUUACCAAGGCUUUGACGGGUAGCCGGCCUGAGAGGGUGACCGGCCAGAUUGGGACUGAGAUACGGCCCAGACUCCUACGGGAGGCAGCAGUGGGGAAUGUUGCACAAUGGGCGGAAGCCUGAUGCAGCAACGCCGCGUGCGGGAUGACGGCCUUCGGGUUGUAAACCGCUUUCGCCUGUGACGAAGCGUGAGUGACGGUAAUGGGUAAAGAAGCACCGGCUAACUACGUG